UACGAAGGGGGCUAGCGUUGCUCGGAAUCACUGGGCGUAAAGGGUGCGUAGGCGGGUCUUUAAGUCGGGGGUGAAAGCCUGUGGCUCAACCACAGAAUUGCCUUCGAUACUGUAGAGCUUGAGACCGGAAGAGGUAAGUGGAACUGCGAGUGUAGAGGUGAAAUUCGUAGAUAUUCGCAAGAACACCAGUGGCGAAGGCGGCUUACUGGUCCGGUUCUGACGCUGAGGCGCGAAAGCGUGGGGAGCAAACAGG
This 253-nucleotide ribosomal RNA is filed under the name uncultured bacterium. Its description in RNAcentral is "partial 16S ribosomal RNA". It matches the Rfam family "Bacterial small subunit ribosomal RNA", at positions 524 to 776 of the family's 1533-position model. The record is from RNAcentral.